This 651-nucleotide long non-coding RNA is filed under the name Marmota monax (woodchuck). The record is from RNAcentral. Lineage: Eukaryota; Metazoa; Chordata; Mammalia; Rodentia; Sciuridae.
GAUACUAUUUGUAUCUGUGAGUAGGGUUAUGCUUGAAAUGAAAUGGAUAAUGCUGGAAACCCUAAGGAUAAAGGUUUACAAAGUCCUAAGAUAUUGGGUAGUGGUAUAUCACAGUGGUAGGAAAAUUUCAUAGCAUGCAUGAGAAGAGAAGAAAAUGAGAGGGGAGGAGAGAGGAGAGAACAAACCUUGGAGGUGACUCAUGCACGCAUCACUAUUUUUUUUUUAAUUAACUAAUUCAAUUUAAUUAUGUAUAGAUGAAAGCUGAAUGCAUUUUGAUUCAUUGGACACAAUGUCAAUGUAACUUUUCAUUUUUGAUUUUACAUGAUGUAGCAACACACCAUAUGUGCAGUCAUACAUGUACUAAGGUAAUAAUGUCUAUCUCAUUCCACCAUCUUUCUUGCCCCCAUGACUCCUCCUCAUCCUUCUCUUUGCCCAAAGUAUCAUCACUACUUCUUGGCUAUAUCUUUGAAGGGUUUCUGACUAAUAAACUGUCCUAAAUCAGUACUGUCCCAUAAAUAGUUACACUAUGAAAUCUCACCUCAUAUGUAAGAUGCAACACGUGUAACUAUUGUGGAUCUACAUCUAAUGUUGAUUAGUAUUGUAAUGUAAAUACUUACAGAGUGUUACCACUAGCAAUGGCAUAAGACAAGG